RNAcentral lists this ribosomal RNA (252 nucleotides) under uncultured bacterium. Its description in RNAcentral is "partial 16S ribosomal RNA". It matches the Rfam family "Bacterial small subunit ribosomal RNA", at positions 524 to 776 of the family's 1533-position model. The record is from RNAcentral.
UACGUAGGGGGCAGCGUUGUCCGGAAUCAUUGGGCGUAAAGCGCGUGUAGGCGGUCCGGUAAGUCCGCUGUGAAAGUCGGGGGCUCAACCCUGGGAUGCCGGUGGAUACUGUCGGGCUCGAGUCCGGAAGAGGAGUGUGGAAUUCCUGGUGUAGCGGUGGAAUGCGCAGAUAUCAGGAGGAACACCGGUGGCGAAGGCGGGUCUCUGGGCAGUAACUGACGCUGAGGAGCGAAAGCGUGGGGAGCGAACAGG